UUUGUAAUUUCAAAAGGGAUGCAGUUUUAUUUGACUUUUUAAAACUGAUUUCAUCAGAUAACAUACUCUAAAUAAAUUGCAUGCAUAUGAUUAAAAUACAGUUGUAAUAAUAUUCACUAUGGGCAACAUUUCCAAAAUCACUGAAACUCAGGAAAGUUUUUCAUUCUUUGAGUGAGAUAUCCCUAUGUGCCGAUUUCAUCUGAAACCAAUUUAAUUCACUAAUUCACAUCUGAAAGUGGGUGUGAUUUACUUUCCUUAAUCAAAAGCAAACAAAACAAACUGGAAAGAACAGAAAACUGAGGCUAUCUCAUGUAAUUAAAGGAAGUAUUAUUUUAUGAAAAUUUAUUUUGUGUGUGUGUGUGAAAUUCCAUGACAUGUAUACUAGUUUGCAGUGUAACAUCUAUAUCUCACCGUGAGAAAGUGGUCAAAAGUAAUUGGAAAACAGCCCUGGUUGUUUUCAUGGAUUGGCCUUCAUUGGUCUUGAUUACUUACAUGAUUGCUAAAUUGAGAUCAGGAGCAAAGGAGCAGCUACCAGAGCCCGGAUUGCCUUCAGACCAGUAUGGACCUGCAGGGCUGCAGGCCAUUCAUCUUGAAAAAGAGCUACAUCGGUGUGAAAUUGUUCAGUGAUGAAACCUACUUUAGGAGCUGCCGCUGCUGGGUGAGAAGAGCUUCCAGCUUGAAAGUCUGCUCUCAGAGGAAGAGUCCUGGGGACCUGCAACAUCCAUGUGAAAUCGUGUGUUUCCACGAGAUUGACCUACAGUCCCCUGUCACCAGUAUCACCUGGGAUUCUGCUCACUGUCACAUGUCAUACUCACAGUCAUGAUGAGAUCACUACCCAGCUCUGAGCACCAGGAGGACCUCGGCAUGUCUAAAACCAAUCUUAAGGCCAAGUGCAGAGCCUUAGGGACAGAGUUAGAGAAACAGCUGCAGCCAGAAGCCUGAGCUGCUGAGUGGCUGCUGUGGAAGAAGGCUCAGCAAUGAAGCAAGGAGCAAGGGAACCAGCAAUGAGGAGGAGAGAGAUGCAGGAGCCAGGGAAGUUCCCAGAGCCAUGGAGCACCCAGCAGAGUAUCAGGGAGGCACCGAGGACCCAUGAGCUGACCAUGGCUGGAUGGAAGGCCCUAGGACCAGCACGGCUAAGCCCCAGGGAGCAAUGUCAUGGAAAGCCAGGACUCAUGAAGUAGCAUGACAGUCAAGGGCAUGGGAGGCAGAGAUAGAGCUACUUGCUGAAAACUACAUGUUCAAUGGAGAAAAAUCUCCCGCUCCCAGGAGAGAACUGUCUUGCCACCUGGGAUCCUGAAGCUUCCACCUUGGCACCCCUGAUGCUUAGACGGGGUAGAAGGCUUAUUAAGCAUCUGUAACAGCUUUAGGAUUCCCGUGCAUGAUCUCAGGAGAUUGGACUUCUGGCAGAGACAGUGGACAUCUGGGGCCGCAGCCCCGAGGCCAGGAUCAAACCCACAACCUCAAGGUUCCUUAUCAGAUUCGUUUCUGCUGCACCACUGCAGGAACUCCCAUAAGGUUCUUAAUUAAAGAGGAAGAGACCAGAGUGGGCGAUCCCCUCUCCUCUCCUUUCCUCUCCCUUCUCUCCCCUGCCCCACACCCCUCUUUAUCUGCCUUGAAAGAACACAAUUAGAAGGCAGCCGGGAAGAGAAACCUCACCAAUAAUCAGAAAUGUGGCUCCUUGAGCUCAGACUUCUAGCAUCCAGAAUUGUGAGAAAUAAAUGUCUGCUGCUUAAGCCAUUCAAUCCAUGGUAUUUUGUUUUAGUAGACUGAGCUGCUAAAGACAUGGAGUAAUAAAAGUGAAGAGUGGGAGUUCCUGUCUGUGGGGCAGCAGAAUCUGACUAGGAAAC
Molecule: non-coding RNA, 1847 nt
Organism: Sus scrofa (pig)
Lineage: Eukaryota; Metazoa; Chordata; Mammalia; Artiodactyla; Suidae
Source: RefSeq, a predicted model, not a curated record